Molecule: ribosomal RNA, 502 nt
Filed under: uncultured bacterium
Lineage: Bacteria
Description: partial 16S ribosomal RNA
Rfam family: Bacterial small subunit ribosomal RNA
Source: RNAcentral
ACUCAAAUGAAUUGACGGGGACCCGCACAAGCGGUGGAACAUGUGGUUUAAUUCGAGGCAACGCGAAGAACCUUACCAGGAUUUGACAUGCCCUCUAUGAGACCCCGAAAAGGGUCUCUUCACUUCGGGUGGGAGGUGCACAGGUGCUGCAUGGCUGUCGUCAGCUCGUGUCGUGAGAUGUUGGGUUAAGUCCCGCAACGAGCGCAACCCUCAUUCUCUGUUGCUAACAGGUCAAGCUGAGAACUCUGAGAAAACUGCCGGUGAUAAGCCGGAGGAAGGUGGGGAUGACGUCAAGUCCUCAUGGCCCUUACAUCCUGGGCUACACACGUGUUACAAUGGUGGUGACAAUGGGCCGCUACCCCGCGAGGGGAUGCUAAUCUCAAAAAGCCACCUCAGUUUGGAUUGUACUCUGCAACUCGAGUACAUGAAAUUGGAAUCGCUAGUAAUCGUAGAUCAGCAUGCUACGGUGAAUACGUUCCCGGGUCUUGCACACACCGCCCGU